AUACGGGGGGGGCAAGCGUUGUUCGGAAUUACUGGGCGUAAAGGGUCCGUAGGCGGCCAACUAAGUCAGACGUGAAAUCCCCCGGCUUAACCGGGGAACUGCGUCUGAUACUGGUUGGCUUGAGUGCAGGAGAGGAACGCGGAAUUCCAGGUGUAGCGGUGAAAUGCGUAGAUAUCUGGAGGAACACCGGUGGCGAAGGCGGCGUUCUGGACUGUAACUGACGCUGAGGGACGAAAGCCAGGGGAGCAAACGGGAUUAGAUACCCCGGUAGUCCUGGCCCUAAACGAUGAAUGCUUGGUGUGGCGGGUAUCGAUCCCUGCCGUGCCGUAGUUAACGCGUUAAGCAUUCCGCCUGGGGAGUACGGUCGCAAGGCUGAA
This 377-nucleotide ribosomal RNA is filed under the name uncultured bacterium. RNAcentral's name for it is "bacterial SSU rRNA". It matches the Rfam family "Bacterial small subunit ribosomal RNA", at positions 523 to 898 of the family's 1533-position model. The record is from RNAcentral.